Long non-coding RNA from Alligator sinensis (Chinese alligator), 950 nucleotides. RefSeq lists it as uncharacterized. NCBI's taxonomy places the organism in Eukaryota, Metazoa, Chordata, Crocodylia, Alligatoridae. The record is from RefSeq and is a predicted model, not a curated record. The transcript has 3 exons.
GUGGCCCCAGCAGUUACGCAAUGCGGGGAGGGCUAUAUUUGGACUUGACCGCACAUGGGCCGGGUCCUGACAGGAUGGGGGCGGGCGGCUGCAGCGAGCGCGGCGCUCCUACGGGACAGGGUGGGAAGCUCUCCUGGGACUUGAGUGGGCCGACUUUAGCUCUGUGUCCUGCCUCCUCUCAUCCGGGGGCAACCUGAGGCGCAGCGGCUGGGGUGAGGGCUCCUGAGGAGGGGCCGCUUCCUUGUCAGCCUCCCCCGGGCAGCGCCGUGCAGCGGGCCAGGCAGGGAGCCGCAUGGAAAGAGUCUCCUGGGCUCUGAUUUGUGGACAACAGGCUGCCCCAUUCCCUCCUCACGGAGCUGGGGUUAUAGCCAAGGAGCGCUGAAAGAGACCUGCACACCGUGAGGAAAAGCAGGCUCCAAAUCAUUAAAACUACUCUUGUGCAGGAGCUGUGCCACUGCUCUGUCUCUAACUGAUUUUUCACGUAAAGUACCAACAACAAAUCCUAGACCUAACUGCUGUCUUGCAAUGAUGUUGCCAAUCUUUUACCUGUUGCAGGCACAAGCUUCUGGACAGAGGUUGCAGUGAAACAAGAUGGAAUCUAUUUACUUCACUGGAGUGCAUUUGCCAGGGGUUCUCAACACCUCUAGCCUGAAACUGAGAUGUCAGAGCAUCAAGGGGGAAAUACACCAAUCAAGCACUCUGUUCAUCCAAGAAACUUUAUACAACUAAGAGUAUAAGAAAAGGAGCUGCUGGAAAUGUGUUCUCAGAGAGUGAAAUAACAGCAAUAUUGUAACCUGCAUCCAGCUAAUAACCCUCAGCAACGGAUCCACAACCCUGAAGGCUGUAGAGAUUGAAACCGCUUCCCACUUGUAUCAGUCAGAGGCACUAUUGCAGCUAAAAUACAUUGGACUUUAUUGAUAGCUCAUUUAUUUGAAUAUUUGGAAGGAGUC